Molecule: ribosomal RNA, 460 nt
Filed under: uncultured bacterium
Lineage: Bacteria
Description: partial 16S ribosomal RNA
Rfam family: Bacterial small subunit ribosomal RNA
Source: RNAcentral
CCUACGGGUGGCAGCAGUGAGGAAUAUUGGUCAAUGGUCGGGAGACUGAACCAGCCAAGCCGCGUGAGGGAGGAAGGUACAGAGUAUCGUAAACCUCUUUUGUCAGGGAACAAAGACUGGGACGCGUCCCCGGAUGAGUGUACCUGAAGAAAAAGCAUCGGCUAACUCCGUGCCAGCAGCCGCGGUAAUACGGAGGAUGCGAGCGUUAUCCGGAUUUAUUGGGUGUAAAGGGCGUGUAGGCGGGACUGCAAGUCAGAUGUGAAAACCACGGGCUCAACCUGUGGCCUGCAUUUGAAACUGUAAGUCUUGAGUACUGGAGAGGCAGACGGAAUUCCUAGUGUAGCGGUGAAAUGCGUAGAUAUUAGGAGGAACACCGAUGGCGAAGGCAGUCUGCUGAACAGCAACUGACGCUGAGGCGCAAAAGCGUGGGGAGCAAACAGGAUUAGAUACCCCUGUAGUC